Molecule: long non-coding RNA, 189 nt
Organism: Micropterus salmoides (largemouth bass)
Lineage: Eukaryota; Metazoa; Chordata; Actinopteri; Centrarchiformes; Centrarchidae
Exons: 3
Source: RefSeq, a predicted model, not a curated record
CUGUUAUUCAGCCACUCACCUUCUGCAGUGGUCAGUACCUAUCAAAAGUGGUCCAAGGAAAGAAAAGCUGUGAACCGGUGACAAGGUCAUGGAUGGCCAAGGCUCAUUGACGCAUGUCGUCCGAUCCAACAGAAAAGCAGUCAGAUUGCUGAAGAAGGUUCUGGGUAAACAUGGUGAUGAUGAAGAUGA